Molecule: unclassified non-coding RNA, 1744 nt
Filed under: uncultured fungus
Lineage: Eukaryota; Fungi
Description: sequence contains 18S rRNA gene, ITS1, 5.8S rRNA gene, ITS2, 28S rRNA gene
Rfam family: Eukaryotic large subunit ribosomal RNA (bases 580-1744)
Source: RNAcentral
GGAAGGAUCAUUAAUAUGUCCCAUUCAUUUAAAUACGUACGAACUUGUUGGUGGGAUUGCAGCUUCCCUGGGUAUGAUCUUUAAUUUGAGAUUAAACCCAGAGUCGCUCUCCUGCUGAUUUUUACCCAAUUUUAAACCUCAAUUUAAUUGUAGACUAAACUUAAAACCAAUACUACCGUAAACUAUAUCACAACUUUUAGCAACGGAUAUCUUGGUUCUCGCAACGAUGAAGAACGCAGCGAAAUGCGAUACGUAGUGCGAAUUGCAGAAUUCAGUGAAUCAUCGAAUCUUUGAACGCAAAUUGCGCUUUUGGGUACCACCUGAAAGCAUGCCUCUUUGAGUAUCGGUUCCAAUCAUUCGCCAGUGCGUGCGUAUGUAAAUACGCAUGGUACUGUGAUGUUAUGAGUUUGUCAAAAGUCUCCUCGGAGAGUUUUGUCACUUGAAGUGUACGGUGAUCGUAGCAUCUUCCAAAACAAAGAUUGUUCAUGUAACAGCCUUUAUUUUUGGGGGGUGAUCAAAACUGCGGUCCUAGGAUCGUUCGGUUCGAAUCGAAUCGGAUCGAUCAUCAUUUUAUAAAUCUGAUCUCAAAUGAGGUAAGAGGACCCGCUGAAUUUAAGCAUAUUAAUAAGCGGAGGAAAAGAAACUAACAAGGAUUCCCCUAGUAACGGCGAGUGAAGCGGGAGGAGCUCAAACUGAAAAUUGGAGAUUCUUGGAGUCUCCGAAUUGUAGUCUAGAGAACUGGUGGCAGCGUGUGGCCUGGGCCUAAGUCCUUUGGAACAGGGCGUCAGAGAGGGUGAGAACCCCGUCUAUGGCUUGGAGACCGCCGCGUACGACGCUAGCUUCUACGAGUCGGGUUGUUUGGGAAUGCAGCCCAAAAUGGGUGGUAAAUUCCAUCUAAAGCUAAAUACAUGCGAGAGACCGAUAGCGAACAAGUACCGUGAGGGAAAGAUGAAAAGAACUUUGAAAAGAGAGUUAAAAAGUGCUUGAAAUUGCUAAAAGCAAAGCAAUGGAAACCAGUAGCCGCAUACGUUCAUUUUCCUGCCUUGCUGAUGAACGCCACGUUGCAGAAGAGUUAUUAUGACCUUCUCGAUGUGGCAGUAGUCAGUGGGGCAGUCCCUAUGGGCGUGUGCAUGUCAGAUCUGCUUUGGAGUGCAGGAUACUACUCCUAGAGGAAGGUAGCAGGAAUCCACCUUGCGUGGUGCACUGUGUUAUUAUGCCUCUGGGUCAGUGCUGUGUUCUGGAGUGGUGAGCCUCAUCUCUCGAUAGGUGAGCUCCACUGGUAGCAAGGAAUUUAAGUCCUGUGUUUUGCUCUAAGAAGGGACAACAAAGUUGUGCCUUCCCUGAACAAAGUUCACGGUUUUUAUUCUGAGUUAUUGUGCCCUGACGUAAAUGGUUUUCACUGACCCGUCUUGAAACACGGACCAAGGAGUCUGACAUAUAUGCGAGUAUUUGGGUGCUUUAAACCCUGAUGCGUAAUGAAAGUAAAGGCAGGCAGUAGUCUGCUGAGGUGGGAAUCUUGCUUCUCCGGAGGUGGGUAUUGCACCAUCGACCGAUCUUUCACUUGUGGAGGAUUUGAGUAAGAGCAUAUCUGUCGGGACCCGAAAGAUGGUGAACUAUGCCUGGACAGGGCGAAGCCAGGGGAAACUCUGGUGGAGGCUCGUAGCGAUACUGACGUGCAAAUCGUUCGUCUGAUCUGGGUAUAGGGGCGAAAGACUAAUCGAACCAUCUAGUAGCUGGUUCCCUC